This 714-nucleotide ribosomal RNA is filed under the name uncultured bacterium. RNAcentral's name for it is "bacterial SSU rRNA". It matches the Rfam family "Bacterial small subunit ribosomal RNA", at positions 111 to 823 of the family's 1533-position model. The record is from RNAcentral.
UAACACGUAUCCAACCUGCCGUCUACUCUUGGACAGCCUUCUGAAAGGAAGAUUAAUACAAGAUGGCAUCAUGAGUUCACAUGUUCACAUGAUUAAAGGUAUUCCGGUAGACGAUGGGGAUGCGUUCCAUUAGAUAGUAGGCGGGGUAACGGCCCACCUAGUCUUCGAUGGAUAGGGGUUCUGAGAGGAAGGUCCCCCACAUUGGAACUGAGACACGGUCCAAACUCCUACGGGAGGCAGCAGUGAGGAAUAUUGGUCAAUGGGCGAGAGCCUGAACCAGCCAAGUAGCGUGAAGGAUGACUGCCCUAUGGGUUGUAAACUUCUUUUAUAAAGGAAUAAAGUCGGGUAUGCAUACCCGUUUGCAUGUACUUUAUGAAUAAGGAUCGGCUAACUCCGUGCCAGCAGCCGCGGUAAUACGGAGGAUGCGAGCGUUAUCCGGAUUUAUUGGGUUUAAAGGGAGCGUAGAUGGAUGUUUAAGUCAGUUGUGAAAGUUUGCGGCUCAACCGUAAAAUUGCAGUUGAUACUGGAUAUCUUGAGUGCAGUUGAGGCAGGCGGAAUUCGUGGUGUAGCGGUGAAAUGCUUAGAUAUCACGAAGAACUCCGAUUGCGAAGGCAGCCUGCUAAGCUGCAACUGACAUUGAGGCUCGAAAGUGUGGGUAUCAAACAGGAUUAGAUACCCUGGUAGUCCACACGGUAAACGAUGAGUACUCGCUGU